AUACUAACCUGUUAGGGGUGACUCUAUGAUUACAAAGUUGGUUUGCCCAAGGUGAAGCUCACCUUUGUUCACCUUUAUGAAUUUCCUAUAUGUGAAAAUAUAAACUGCACAAUUUUUGAUUGGGAAGAACUGCAUUCGUGUUCCCCGUUA
Molecule: small nuclear RNA, 150 nt
Gene: U1
Rfam family: U1 spliceosomal RNA
About the family: U1 is a small nuclear RNA (snRNA) component of the spliceosome (involved in pre-mRNA splicing). Its 5' end forms complementary base pairs with the 5' splice junction, thus defining the 5' donor site of an intron.
Source: Ensembl